RNAcentral lists this ribosomal RNA (248 nucleotides) under uncultured bacterium. RNAcentral's name for it is "partial 16S ribosomal RNA". It matches the Rfam family "Bacterial small subunit ribosomal RNA", at positions 28 to 259 of the family's 1533-position model. The record is from RNAcentral.
GACGAACGCUGGCGGCGUGCUUAACACAUGCAAGUCGAGCGGUAAGGCCCUUUCGGGGUACGACGAGCGGCGAACGGGUGAGUAACACGUGGGCGACCUACCCUUCAGCUCUGGGAGUAAGCCUCGGGAAACGUGGGUCUAAUACCGGAUAGGACCGCAUGUCGCAUGGUGUGUGGUGGAAAGUUUGUUCUUAAUUGGACACUUCGGCUGGGGAUGGGCCCGCGGCCUAUCAGCUUGUUGGUGGGGGG